This 541-nucleotide ribosomal RNA is filed under the name uncultured bacterium. RNAcentral's name for it is "bacterial SSU rRNA". It matches the Rfam family "Bacterial small subunit ribosomal RNA", at positions 355 to 896 of the family's 1533-position model. The record is from RNAcentral.
UGAGGAAUAUUGGUCAAUGGGCGAGAGCCUGAACCAGCCAAGUAGCGUGCAGGAUGACGGCCCUAUGGGUUGUAAACUGCUUUUGAGGGGGAAUAAAGUGAGUGACGUGUCAUUCAUUGCAUGUACCCCUGGAAUAAGGACCGGCUAAUUCCGUGCCAGCAGCCGCGGUAAUACGGAAGGUCCGGGCGUUAUCCGGAUUUAUUGGGUUUAAAGGGAGCGUAGGCGGCCCGUUAAGCGUGCUGUGAAAUGCAGGGGCCCAACCUCUGGAUUGCAGCGUGUACUGGCGGGCUAGAGAGCGCACGACGCAGGCGGAAUUUGUGGUGUAGCGGUGAAAUGCUUAGAUAUCACGAAGAACCCCGAUUGCGAAGGCAGCUUGCGGGAGCGCGACUGACGCUGAAGCUCGAAAGUGCGGGAAUCAAACAGGAUUAGAUACCCUGGUAGUCCGCACGGUAAACGAUGGAUGCCCGUUCUGCGGCCUUCGGGCCACGGGACCAAGCGAAAGCAUUAAGCAUCCCACCUGGGGAGUACGCCGGCAACGGUG